Molecule: small RNA, 951 nt
Filed under: Pongo abelii (Sumatran orangutan)
Lineage: Eukaryota; Metazoa; Chordata; Mammalia; Primates; Hominidae
Description: retained intron
Source: RNAcentral
GCCGAAGCGUACCCGGCCGGAAGCCGCUGUCGGGGAGCCGGCGGUGGGGCUGGACGCAGGUGCAACUGACAUGGGUGAACCCCGGGGGUCCAUGCGGAUUCUAGUGACAGGGGGCUCUGGACUGGUAGGCAAAGCCAUCCAGAAGGUGGUAGCAGAUGGAGCUGGACUUCCUGGAGAGGACUGGGUGUUUGUUUCCUCUAAAGAUGCCGAUCUCACGGAUGCAGCACAGACCCGCGCCCUGUUUGAGAAGGUCCGACCCACACACGUCAUCCAUCUUGCUGCAAUGGUGGGGGGCCUGUUCCGGAAUAUCAAAUACAAUUUGGACUUCUGGAGGAAAAAUGUGCACAUCAACGACAACGUCCUGCACUCAGCCUUCGAGGUGGGCGCCCGCAAGGUGGUGUCCUGCCUGUCCACCUGUAUCUUCCCUGACAAGACGACCUACCCCAUAGAUGAGACCAUGAUCCACAAUGGGCCGCCCCACAGCAGCAAUUUUGGGUACUCGUAUGCCAAGAGGAUGAUCGACGUGCAGAACAGGUCCUCACGCCCAUCCUGCUGAGGCCCAGCCAGGAGUGGGGGAGAGGGCCCCCAGGGGCGGGUGAGGCCGGCUGGUCGGGUCUUCGUGCCAGCCUCAGUAAGAGGCCAGCGGCAUCCUGGGGUGGGAUCACGGGCCCAGGACGAGGGCAGGAGACGCUGUGCCUCCGCAGGGCCUACUUCCAGCAGUACGGCUGCACCUUCACCGCUGUCAUCCCCACCAACGUCUUCGGGCCCCACGACAACUUCAACAUCGAGGAUGGCCACGUGCUGCCUGGCCUCAUCCACAAGGUGCACCUGGCCAAGAGCAGCGGCUCGGCCCUGACAGUGUGGGGUACGGGGAAGCCGCGGAGGCAGUUCAUAUACUCGCUGGACCUGGCCCAGCUGUUUAUCUGGGUCCUGCGGGAGUACAAUGAAGUG